CCCCCGGGUGCACGUUUUGGUUUUUACCCUAGCACUACACAGCUGAUUAAAUUAUCCAAGCUUGAUGAGUUGGUUAUGAUGAGUUGGUUAUGUGAAUCAGCUGUGUAGUGUUAGGGCAAAAACCAAAAUGUGCACCCAGGGGGGGCCCCAGACCCGAGUUUGGGAAACCCUGGUUUAGAGGUAGAUCAAGCUCACCGAUGUAAAGUUAGGACAGAAAAUCAGGACAGAUUACAUUUGAGUCAUUUAGCAGACACUCCUACCCACUGGGACAAUCAGUGCAUUCUAUGAGGUAGCAUUCAACUAAGGUAGGUAAAACCAUAUGAUUAAAAUGACUAGAACGGACAUGGGCCUAAUCUAAUUAAAUGGUACCUUAGUUAAAACAGCCUAUCAGAUCAUACCUCUGCAACAUCAGCCCCUUCUGUCCCCUGAUUGACCGAAGCAAGAAGCCUGGACAGUCUGCUCCCUCCAAGAAACAAUCUCCUCACCAUCACCUUAACAUCUCCUACAAGUUACUAUCUGUCAACUGUCUGUUGUCCUGUUGAUUUAGUCUCCUAGUCUGUUUAUUCAGGUCAAGUCUUUUCAAUUCAAUAUUAAUACCCAAGGGGCAAUUAGAAAGGCAUUGUCAGUGUGUGGAGACCCAUUAUGCUAUAUACUGUAGUUGCCUGGCAAAGACAAAGGUAGGAACAGAUAGCCACCAUUAUGGCUACUAUUGACUAGUAGGUUGAGAAUGCAAUGUGUUGCCUAACUUCUAUCUUUCUUGUGUCUGUUUGGUGACUACCCACGGUGUCUAGGAGAGGGCAGUCCAUUCAGCUCUUCCCAGCCUGCCAUAAUGAAGCCACCUCAACUAAAGGCCCCAAAGCCACCAGACUAUUCUAACGGAUCCAGCUUCAGUAAACCUCCUACUCCUCCUUCAAAUGUCCCCAACACAAAACAAGGCACAUGGAAGUAUGGAGGACUAGUGACCAGAGGCCAGCCUGAAGCAUCUCUCAGAUGGGUUAACAAGGUCAGGAAUCCCCCACUCCUGGUGGGCCUCACUAACACACACACACACACACACACACACACACACACACACACACACACACACACACACACACACACACACACACACACACACACACACACACACACACACACACACACACACACACACACACACACACACACACACACACACACACACACACACACACACACAGUGUGUGUAUCAACGUAGCUGUGUGUGUUUCAGGAUGGAGUGUUUCUGGUGAGGGUCAGUUCCAAGGCUCUUCUGAGCAGUCCUACACCCUCAUGGUGAUGAACCAAGGCUCUUCUGAGCAGUCCUACACCCUCGUGGUGGAUGGUACCGAUGUCAUGUCAAAGUCAGAGUGUUUUACAGUACACACACACUCACAAACUCUUCUGAAUACCAGGCUUCUUCAUAUAUAUAUAUAUAUAUGGAGCAGUAUGACAAACUUUUACCUUGUCUCUAUAUGUAGCACAUGUGCUAUAUAUAGAGAUCCAUCAUUUUGGGGUGGCAGGUAGCCUAGUGGUUAGAGCCUUGGGCCAGUAACUGAAAGGUUGCUGGAUCGAAUCCCUGAGCUGACAAGGUAAAAGUUUUCUGCCCCUGAACAAAGCAGUUAACCCACUGCCAUCAUUGUAAAUAAGAAUUUGUUCUUAACUGGUGCCUAGUUAAAUAAAAUUUAAAAAAAAUCAUGCUUUUUCUCUUUCUCUGCAUUUUCAUUAGAAGAUUCAACAGCUUUUUCAUGGCUACACUUACUCCAGCAUCAGACACACCACAUCACGGUUAUUAUAAACCACUGACUGAUACAGUACACGCACGCAGCGAAGCACAUCCCAUGGGCAUGUGUGACACGUACUCCUCAGCCUGAAGUGUCCCGCUUGCGUCACCUCAUUAGCUAGCUUUUGAGGUGUCGCGAUCGGCUAAGACGUUUGCGGGUGAACGGUCACGUGUGUUUGGGAGGCAGAAGUCCCGAGUUCGCACCGGGUAUGGGUUGAAGUGGUACUCGCUAAGCAAGCAGCGUGACGUCCUUUAAACGCACACGUGACCAUGUCCAAACCAACUGUAUUUAUAUGUGGGUGACUAUAAUUUCCACCCUCUGUAACGGACCGAUUAAAUGGUCUCAGUAAAAUACUUUCAAGGAGGUUUUUGUGUGGUUAAGACUUGCUUAAGGGACCAGAGUUGCUUCACAAUUGUUACUUUAUCUGAAUAUGAAUUUAAAUAGAUUUGACUUUGGACUUGAAUGGUGGGAAACUUCUGAAGAUCGCUCUCUGUCAUCUUCUGUAAUGGUAGAGUUACAGCAUAGAUCAUUAAAUAAAUGUAAUUGAUCAUCUUAGUUUUAUCACAGAAAAAAAGAUUCAUGAAAGCAAGAGCAACUGCACAUACACACACCUACAUACAAAACCAACGAACCCUCACGCACCCACAAAUACACACACACACAUUCUCAACACCAGCACAACCCCUCACACCAAUGCACACUCACACACCAGUGUUAUGUUCGAGUCUGAGUCAAGACCAAGACCGGGGGGUACCGAGUCAAGUUCAAG
Long non-coding RNA from Salvelinus fontinalis (brook trout), 2550 nucleotides. RefSeq lists it as uncharacterized. The transcript has 3 exons. NCBI's taxonomy places the organism in Eukaryota, Metazoa, Chordata, Actinopteri, Salmoniformes, Salmonidae. The record is from RefSeq and is a predicted model, not a curated record.